GACGAACGCUGGCGGCGUGCCUAACACAUGCAAGUCGAACGGACGAGAUUUCUUCGGAGAUCGAGUUAGUGGCGAACGGGUGAGUAACGCGUGAGCAACCUGCCUUUCAGAGGGGGACAACAGUUGGAAACGACUGCUAAUACCGCAUAACGCAUUCGGGGGCAUCCCCUGAAUGCCAAAGAUUUAUCGCUGAAAGAUGGGCUCGCGUCUGAUUAGAUAGUUGGUGAGGUAACGGCUCACCAAGUCGACGAUCAGUAGCCGGACUGAGAGGUUGAACGGCCACAUUGGGACUGAGAUACGGCCCAGACUCCUACGGGAGGCAGCAGUGGGGAAUAUUGGGCAAUGGGGGGAAACCCUGACCCAGCAACGCCGCGUGAAGGAAGAAGGCUUUC
Molecule: ribosomal RNA, 392 nt
Filed under: uncultured bacterium
Lineage: Bacteria
Description: bacterial SSU rRNA
Rfam family: Bacterial small subunit ribosomal RNA
Source: RNAcentral